Molecule: ribosomal RNA, 433 nt
Filed under: uncultured bacterium
Lineage: Bacteria
Description: partial 16S ribosomal RNA
Rfam family: Bacterial small subunit ribosomal RNA
Source: RNAcentral
AACGAACGCUGGCGGCAUGCCUAACACAUGCAAGUCGAACGAGACCUUCGGGUCUAGUGGCGCACGGGUGCGUAACGCGUGGGAACCUGCCCUUAGGUUCGGAAUAACUCCCCGAAAGGGGUGCUAAUACCGGUUAAUGUCUUCGCACCCAAGAUUUAUCGCCUUUGGAUGUGCCCGCGUUGGAUUAGCUAGUUGGUAGGGUAAAAGCCUCCCAAGGCGACGAUCCAUAGCUGGUCUGAGAGGAUGAUCAGCCACACUGGGACUGAGACACGGCCCAGACUCCUACGGGAGGCAGCAGUGGGGAAUAUUGGACAAUGGGCGAAAGCCUGAUCCAGCAAUGCCGCGUGAGUGAUGAAGGCCUUAGGGUUGUAAAGCUCUUUUACCCGGGAUGAUAAUGACAGUACCGGGAGAAUAAGCUCCGGCUAACUCCGUG